GAGGUCACAGCUGUCAGAUGGUGGCUGGGAGGAACAGCAUGGGGCUGGAUCAUUGGGGACUGGCUGGGAACCUCUCUCUUCUUGUAGUUUCAGGGCCUCUCCUAUGGUUUGUUUAGGUGUUAAUUUGGCUGGAUCACUUGGGGAUUAGCUGGGAACCUCUUCUUGUAGUUUCAGGGCCUCUCCUAUGGUUUGUUUGGGUGUUAGUUUGAGCUUCCCCACAGCAUUGCAGCCUCAGGGCAGCUGGACCAUUUACGUGCCCACUAAAAGUUUCAAGAGCAAAUAUUCCAGCAACUAAGGAAAGCUCCGUUGCCUUUUAUGGCCUGGCCCUGGAGUUCAUACAGCAUUGCUUCUGCCAUGUUCUACUAGUUACAGGUAAGUCAUCAAACCACCCAAAUACAAGGGUAAGGAAAAUAAGCUCUGUGUCUUUUUCUCCUUUUGGUGCUGGGGAUCGAACCCAGGGCCUUAUACAUGUGAGGCAAGCACUCUACCAACUGAGCUACAUCCCCACCACUAAGCUCCUUCUCUUGAUGGACAAGUGGCAAUAUUAUAGAUGAGCACAUGAGAUGGGAGAUGCUGUUACAGCCAAUUUUAGGGUGAUCCACUCCAUCCUUCUGUUCUAAACCCUAUUUUGUUUUCUUCAUAGUACCUUUUACUAUUGGACAUUAUCUUAUUUAUUUCUUUGUUUUCCACCAGUCAUCUUCCUUUACUAGAACAUAUGUUCUAAAAUGGCAGGAACUCUUAUUAUUCUCUACCUUUUCACUAGUACCUGAAUAGUACCUGUACAUUGUAGGUGUUAAACACAUUUUUUAAUAAAUAAUAAGAAUUUUGUAGCAGAGGAUCAAUAGCUGCCUCAGGAUUAUAAAACAAGUAAUGGAGGGGUGGAGUUGUAGAGCACUUGCCUGGCAUGUGUGAGGCCCUGGUUUUGAUCAUCAGCACUGCAUACAAAUAAAUAAAAUAAAACAUCCAUUAACAACUAUAAGAUAUUUUUUAAAAACUAGUAAUGGAAGUAUAAGCACAUUUUUAGAGAUGUAUACUUAACUAAAAAAAGAACUAAAACCAGAAAUAGUUGAAAGUGGUUACCUGUAGGGUACAAGAUGAGGAGAGGAAAGGUGGACAGAGAAUUAGAGAUUUUCUGUGCCACUUGUACACAUGAGACUUUUUUUUAAGUUUCUUUUUUUAAACUCUUUUUUUUAAUAUUUAUUUUUUAGGUGUAGAUGGACACAACACAAUGCCUUUAUUUUUAUGUGGUGCUGAGGAUCGAACCAGGGCCCCACCCGUGCUAGGCAAGCUGCUCUACCGCUGAGCCACAAUCCCAGCCCGAGACUUUUAAAAUUCUAUGCAGUUUUAUUUUAAUAUUAAAAUUUUGAAAAAUUAAAAAGUUAAUUGUAGAGCUGGAUGUGGUAGCCAAACCUGUAAUCCCAGUAGCUCAGGAAGCUGAGGCAGGAGGAUCAUGAGUUCAAAGCCAGCCUCAGCAAAAUAGAGGCACUAAGCAACUCAGUCCCUGUCUCUAAAUAAAAUACAAAAUAGGGCUGGAGAUGUGGCUCAGUGGUUGGGCAUCCCUGAGUUCAAUCCCCAGUACAAGAAAAAAAAAAAAACUCGUUAUAGAAAAUAUAGGAAAACUGGAAGAGAAUACAAAACUAACAAAACAUUAUUUGUAACACCACCACCUAGAGAUUGCCAUUGGAAACAUCUUGGUCUUUUACCUUCUUGUUCAAAUUAUUUAAAACAGACUACUUUCUAUCUUUCCUUUUCCACUUCUUUGUAUUAAUUAUAUUGUAAAGAUUUGCUCUGGGCUAGAAAUGCUACCUGGAAAAAAGUGUUUGCCUAAGGUUUAAAAUUCUGUCAUUUCCUGUCUACCCUACUUAGAGGUCUGUAUACUUCUUUUUCUUUUCCUCUCUCUACCCUUAUAGUCCACCCCAAACAAUCCUCUUUAACCCACUCUGACCCCCACUUUCUUUCUCCCCUGUUCAGGGACUUUAUGAACUCAUCAUUUAUUCUUUUUCCUCAGUCACAGAACAAUAGCGUGUGGGAUUUGUUGUUGUUGUUGUUGCUUAUAGCUAUUACUGCUUCACCAAAACUUGAUGGUUUAAAACUAAAACCAUCCAUUUAUUAUUUUCAACAAUUCCAUGGGCAGAAAUGUGAACAGGGUACAGGUCCCGAAUCUCCCUUCUAAGUGAUGGAGUAUAAUGUCCAACAUAUUUGAUGCUUUAGAAUGACUGCAAAGGGUGAGACUGAUUACAAUAGGGGUCAUGUGUCUUGGACUUCAGCCUAAGUUGUCAAUCAGAAGCCAGGUCUCUGUGUGGUAUCUCCCUGUGAGAUCCUUCUGGUGGAAUAGUCCGCCUUCUUGCAAAGCAGCUCUGGAAGGGCUAGGGCUGUAGCUCACUGACAGAGCACUUGCCUAGUAUGUGCAAGGCCCUGAGUUCAAUCUUCAGCACCACAAAAAACAAAACCCACACGCAAAGCAGCUCUGGGCUCCCAGUUAGACUUGGAACUCAAGGGCAUUUCUUGAAAGUCGCAGGGAUAGACUAGAUUCAGGAGUAGGAACAUAGGGCAUCAGCACCAAUAGGGGCAGGUCACUGGGAGCCACCAUUGUAACAAACCUCCCUUGCGUCAGGCAGAAGUGAAUUCAAAUCCUCUCUUCUUGGUUUACUGACUAUCUGGCCUUGGCCUAAUUUCUUAACUUCUCUGAACCAUUAUUUCCUUGCUUAUCUGUAAAAUUAGCAGGAUGUAAUUCCUCCCAGGUAGGAUCAUUCUGUGUUUUGAAUUGUAAAUUGUACUGGCACCACUACUGCAUGGAAUUUCAUAGAAAGGACUCAAACACUAGAAAGACAUGUAAACUGUAAACCUAAGAGAAGUAAGCUCCUGGAAACCUGAAGAAAUCUUCACAAGGUCUUUAUUUAUUUCAUUAUUGUAUUUUUUUUUUUACAGUACUUGGGAUCAAACCCAGGGCCUCAUACAUGCUAAACAAGCAUUCUACUAUUUAGCUACAUCCUCAGUCCUUUUUUGAGGGGGGAUGGGGGGAAUGUGAAUUUAAACUUCCAAGGAACCAAAAGUUGGAUCCAAAGGUAUUUAUUUAUUUUUAAUUAAUUUAUUUAUUUAUUUUAUAGUAAAAUGCAUUUUGACAUAUUGUAUGCAAAUGGAGCACAACUUCUUAAUCCUCUGGCUGUACAAGAUUCAGAGUCACUCCAUUAGUGUAAUCAUAUAUGUAUAUAGUGUAAUAAUAUCUGUCUCUUUCUACCAUCCUUCCCAUCCCAUAACCCAACCCUUCCCCUCACUACCUCUACACAAACCAAAGUUCCUUCAUUCUUCCCUAUCCCCCAGCCCCACUAUGGAACAGCGUCCGCUGAUCAGAGAAAACAUUGGGCUUUUACUUGGGGGGGGGGGUGUUGGCUUAUUUCACUUACCAUGAUUUUCUCUAGUUCUAUCCAUUUAUCUGCAAAUGCCAUAAUUUAAUUCUUCUUUAAGGCUGAGUAAUAUUCCAUUGUUAUAUGUGCCACAUUUUCUUUAUCCAUGUUGAAGGGCAUCUAGGUUGGUUCCACAGUUUAGCUAUUGUGAAUUGAGGUGCUAUAAACACUGAUGUGGCUGCAUCCCUGUAGCUGAUUUUAAGUCCCAAAGGUAUUUAAAUCUGAAGGAAAAUACAAAAAAAAAUGCAAUCCCAAUGGAAAAAAAAAAUUGAUAUUGUUGAUUCUGUUGUAUGGUUGUGGGCAUGCAGAAUUUCUUCUCCCACCCCCCUCCAUCUUGGCUUUUUUUUUUUUUCGCUUUACCAACCUCUGGGCUUGAUUUUAAGUUUACUCUUUCUCUUCUUACCUCUCAUGGCAUAGUAACUUUUUAUUCUCUCCAAAAACUUGGAGCUUCAAGAAACUCUCCCCAUGUUCACUGACUUCCCCUUGUGAAAAUUCUUUGUACAAAAUGGACAGGGGGGUGGGGGCUAGGGAGGUAGCUCAGUGGUAAGGCACUUGCCCAGCAUGUGGGAGGCACUGGGUUCGAUUCUCAGCACCACAUAAAAAUAAAUAAAGGUAUUGUGUCCACCUACAACUAAGAAAUUAAAACAAAAACAGAAUGAACUUGGACCUGUCACAGCCCACUUGAGUGGGGUCAAGGGACCGUGGGAAAGAAGAGUAAAUACUCAGGUCUCCAAUGCCUGCUCCAGGAACUCUCUCACAGAACCAACCCCCCAAAACAGCCUGCCCUAUCUUAAGACUCUUUUAAGACUGGGAUCCUAAUUAGGAUAAGUUAUACUCCAUGUAUGUCUCAUAAGUGAAAAUAUACUCUACUGUCUUGUAUACCUAAAAAGAACAAAUUUUUUAAAAAGACUGUUUUUACUUAGGAACUGAUGACAGAACUGCCAACUCUGACCUCAAGACUCACUUUGAAUUGUUAUGACACCAGUCAGGGCUUGCCAGAUCCCUCAAGCAACAAAAGUGCUAGUUGAGCUUUCAUUCCCAACAACUUGUGCAGACUUCUCUGUCACGAUAAAGCCCUCAACCUCUCCUUUGCUCUCCCUGUAUCCCAGAGGUCACCCUGGCCUGUCCUUGUGUGGCCUGGAUUGCAAUCCUAGUCUUUGUUCCCAAAGAAAAGUUCCUUUGUUGGAGACGCCUGUGUACAUUUCUUGUUUGACUUUGACACUCUCUAGAAACCUCCCAAAGCCUAGUUCCCAUAACUGGUUACCUCUUAAGGCAGAAGAAACAGAGCUCACACCCCAUAAGAGGUCCUCAGAACUGUGCCCUUCUUCCUGGCCUCCUGCCCGGUCCCUUCCACUAUUAGGCCCCUCCUCACAGACUGUUUGAGGCUCCCGGGAACUAAAGAGAUUUGUGAGUAAGUGACCUUUAACCCAAUGAGAAUCCUCCACCCACAAUCUGGGCUAAUCUUCUUAGGUGUUAAUAUUUAGCAUUACCUUGUACUACUCAGCUCCCUGAACCCUACUCAGCAAAACCUUUUAAAACGCUUCCUUACUUCUUCUCCCUACUUUUUGUCUCGGUUGCUGUUGUUUUGAGCUGGGGUUUUACUGUGUUGCCCAGACUGGCCUUGAACUCCUGGGUUUAAGUGAUCCUUCUGCCUCAGCCUCCCACACAUAGCCAGGACUACAGUACCUGCCAUUGAGCCUGGCUCCCCUACUCUUUUAAUGGGAAUUUCUGGUGUAGCAAAGGUCUGGUAAAGAAGACUAUUCCUCUGAAAACCAAGCAUUUGAUGACAGACACAAGAAUGAUUUCUCAGAGUUGCUAUCAAUCACAGGCACAUUAUUAAAGCACAUUAUUAAAAAUCUGUAAUAAAUGUACCAGUGAAGAAGGUGAUCAGUGCUUUUAAAGCUUGGAAGAGCAGAUUCUGGUUCUGCAGGUCCAGGGUGGUAUCUCAGCUUCUGCAUGUCUACGGAAGCUCCCAGGAGACAUUGCUACCACUGCUCCUGCUGCUGCUGCUGCUGCUAUUGCUGGUGUAGGAGCCAUGGUCAGAGUGUUAUUUAUGGUUCUCCAGAGAAACAGAACCAACAGGACAUGGACACACACACACACACACACACACAUACACACACACACACACCUCUGGCCAAAUUAUUAUAUGGUUGUGUAUAGAUAUUUAUUAUGGAAAUUGGCUCACAAAUUAUGAAAACCAAAAAGCCCCACAAUCUUCUGCUGUCAGAAAACACUGAUGAUGUAAUUCAGUCUGGGUCUGAAGCCCCCAAAACCAGGCACUCUGAUGUCUGAGGACAGGAGAUGGAUGACUCAGAUCAAGGAGAGAGAGAUCUUGUCUUUCUUCUACCCUUUGGUUCUAUUCAGAUCCUCAGUGGAUUGGAUAAUGUCUGCCUACGUUUGUGGGGUGGAUCUUCUUUAUUUAAUUUACUGACCCAAAUGUUAAUAUCUUCUGGAAAGACCCUCCCAAACACAUUCAGAAAUGGUGUUUCAUCAGCCAUCGGGACAUCCCUUAGCCCAGUCAAGUGGACACACAAAAAUUAACUGUCACACUUAGCAAGGAAAUGCUACUAAGUAGUAUGGGAAGGAAACGACAGGCGAAGGAUGUCUUCCUGCAGCUCACAGCCAGCAAACAUCUCUGUUUUUCCAGGCAUCCCUGAACAGUCAAGGGCCUGGGUAUGGGGUCAGAGAGAGCUGUGUCCAACUCUGCUUUCCAUUUACUGUGUGGUCUCUGCCAAGUCAUUUAACUUGUCUGUGACCCAGUUUCCACAUGUAAAAACGGGGGUGGAGAUCAUAUCUGCUUCACUGAACUGUCAAGGAGAUUUUAUGCCACCGUGAGUCUGAUGGCUUAGCAGAGUAUCUGGUACAGAGUUGGCCUCUAAAAGCAGCGCAGAGUCUUGCUAUUGCAGGGACGGAAUCCAGAGACUAAGCAGACUACGCAAGAUUCAGCUAAGCAAGGGCCUGCUGGCUUCAGCUUUUCCAUACUCCCAGUGAGGAUGUGGCUAUGUUUUCACAAUUCCAGAUUUAAUAACAGCCAUGUCAGUGGAUGUGCUCCUGUGUUCUCUGAUUAAAUGGACAUACUUGAGUCGCCCCAGGCAAAAUGAGGUCAUGCAUCAGAAGCCUAAAAAGAAAGCUUCUUUCUAAUUCCCUGUCACACCCUCUGAUGUUGAGGUGUCUUUCACCAGUUUUGUUUUCUGUUUUUAAGUCCAUGUGACACCGUUGCCUCAGAUUCUUCUCAAAUAGCAGAAAAAAGAAAACAUUUCAGAGUUCUUAUGAAUUUUCUUCUCACACACACACACACACACACACACACACACACGGCUAUUCUUUGGGUCCCUAUACUCCCUUCCUAAGCUUCUGGCUUUUCCAGACCUCCUAAUUAAACUGCAAUAGCUGCAUAUCCUUUUAAAGGAUUUAUUCUGGGCCAGGUAUGGUGGUAUUUGCCUGUAAUUUCAGAAACUCUAGAGGCUGAGGCAGGAGGAUCACAGGUUCCAAAUCAGCCUGGACAACUUAGCAAGAUCCUGUCUCAAAAUAAAAUAAAAAGGGCUGAGAAUAUAAUUCAGUGGUACAGCGCCCCUGGGUUCAAUCCCCUAAACCACUAAUUAAUUAAUUAAUUAAGGAUUUACUCUGUUUUGCUGGAACUCUUAAACCACUUGAAAAAAAAACUACAGCUGGGCGCGGUGGCACACGCCUGUGAUCCCAGUGGCUCCAGAGGCUGAGAAGGAGGAUCCCUAGUUCAAAGCCAGCCUCAGCAAAAGCGAGGCGCUAAGCAACUCAGUGAGACCCUGUCUCUAAAUAAAAUACAAAAUAGGGCUGGGGAGGCUCAGCAGUAGAGUGCUCGCCUGGCACGUGCGGGACCCUGGGUUCGAUCCUCAGCACCCAAUAAAAAUAAAUAAGUUAAAUAAAGGUAUUUAGUGCAACUACAACUAAAAAAUAAAUAUCUUAAAAAAAUAGGGCUGGGGAUGUGGUUCAGUGACCGAUGGUACUCCCCGCUCCCAAAAAAAAAAAAAAAAUACAGAUAGCUCUGCCGACAACCAGAAAACGGAACUUUCCAAACUUUUUCUCUGGGUUUCUGCCUGUUUUGAUUCUUACAAGUUACACCCACAUGUUGUUUAAAUUUUACUGAUGAUUCAGCAGAAGCUGCCACCAGCAAAACCAGUUGUUUUAAUGGCUGAGAACACCCUUGCUGCUGGCCUGAUUUUCUGUGAUGAUGGCAACAACCUGAUUCCUGGAGGUAAAACUCGACUCUCUCUCUCAAGAUGCUUGGUAAGAAUUGUAGCGACAGCACAUAUAACUAAUUCAUUAACUUAGAUCUCAAAUUUACUUCUUACUUAUAAGACUGGUUCAUUUUAGUUGUAUAAAAAAGAACUAUGUCUUGAGCAAAGUCCUCCUCUUUUCGUUUUGCAAAAUGAAGGAAAACUCACAAGUUGCAAUUGCUCCAAUUCUUAACCUAAAAGACCCCAAUUGGGCAGUGGGAAGUACAAAGUAUAGCACUGCUAAGAAAUUAAAGCAAAGGGCUGGUGCUGGAGCCCAGAGCGUUGCCUAGCAUGUGUGAGGCACUGGGUUCAAUCCUUUGCACCACAUAAAAAAUGAAACAAAUAAAAUAAAGGCAUGCUGUCCACCUACAACUAAAAAAAAAAAAAAGGAAAUAAAUGAAGUAAUGAUUAUAGUGAUGGGGGAAAUCAAAGCUGAUGCCCAAAUAGUUCAUUUCAUUAGCUCAGAAUGUGUAUUUACCAACCUGGUAUGAAUUUCAGAGGCAUUCCUAAAUUUCAUUUUGUUUGUUUUUGUUUUUUAGGGUUUCACUUACUCCUUUGUUUUAUUUUUACCUUAAAGCUACUUAACACUAAUUAGUAUAUUGAAUGUUUUAUAUUUCUAAAACAAACGUAUGCCAUGAGAUAAAUGAGCUGAGGAGAAACUUUGAUAAAGAAAAAAAUAUAAACAGAAGCAGGAAAAGUGAAAGUUUGGUCUUUCUGCAGAGUCCACAUACUCAGGCAAUGUUGAAAUUCAGCACAAUGGGGACAGAAAAGGAAGACAUAAUUUCACUGGAUUCUUGGAGGCGCUCAUUCUCAAUUGAAAGCUCCCAAGCAGUCCUCCAAAUUCCAAUUUUUUAUGAUCCCUUAGAUCAAUUUGUUAAAGGACGUAAAUGUUAAUCGUUAAUGUCUGAUUAUCUAUCUUGUUUUCUUUAAGCAUUACCUGUUUCCAUGGGCAUAAGAAGAGUCUCUGGCUGGGAUAUCAUGGAAGAAGUUUCUGAACUGGUAGACUUCUGACAAGAUUAACGACCCCCAGGUUUUCUCCUAAUUUCAAGAUUCAACAAAAGUUCUGGAAUGUUCUUGGGUUGAUUUUGUUUUGUUUUGUUUUAAUUCCACAGCCUUUGGCAUUCCAGUUCAGAGGACAAGUCUGAUAGUCUCCAUUCCUUUCAUUUUAUCAACUCUUAACAAAAGCUACUAGGCUCAGGCCAAAGGGGUAUUUUGACAUGAACAAUGCUUCUCAGGAAAAGAAGUGCCCAAAUUUUUAUCCUGUUAUUUGAGUGAAAGUUCUAAGUCCUUCCCUGAUGUUCCCUGGAAUUGUGAUUUAAUGACUAGUCACACCAGAACGGAACACAUGUUUCUACUUGCAAGAUUAUUAAGCACAUUACACAGUUCCAUUAUUGCCUUCCUGAGUCACCCUGCAUGUACUAGUGUCUGCGUAGAUUGCUUUUCAAAGGGUUUAAUAGAGAAAAGUGUUAGAAUACGUGUAAUUAAAUUCACUUAUUUUUACUUUAGCUUUUAAUUAUUUUUAAUGUAUUGACCACAGAGUAAGGAGAAAGUAUAGUAAAGAAAAAACAAUAUCAGCACUUAAUGUGGAAGGUUAUUGUUAUUGUUUUACUAAUAGAAUUUUGAGUUACAUAAGUGAACUGGAUAUACAUCAAUCAACAAUUUUCUCUAACAGGGAUUCUUACGUUUUGAAGUAUUUACCUUUAGAAAAGUAUCUGUUUCAAUAAGAAUGAUUCCCCAGGCUGAGGCUGUGGCUCAGUGGUAGAAUGCUUGCCUAGCAUGUGUGAGGCACUGGGUUCGAUUCUAAACACCACAUAUAAAUAAAUAAAGGUUCAUCAACAACUAAUAAAAUAUUUUAAAAAAAAAGAAUUAUUCCCAUAAAAAUUCUAUGUGUUUUAGAAUUUUAUAUUGAAAGCUCCUCUUAGGCAAUCCCAAUAAGCAUACUGGAAAUUAAUAUAAAAAUUUGACAUUCAACUUCUAAGAAUUUAAAACAUCUCUAAGAUGAUGUACAAUCAAUCAACAAAUACAAGAAAAAAUGUUCAUCAUCACCAGCAAUUAGAGAGAUGCAAAUCAAAACCACUGUAAGAUUUCAUCUCAUUCUAGUCAGAAUGGCAGCUAUUAUGCCAAUAACAAAAGUGUUGGCGAGAAUGUGGGGGGAAAAGUACACUCACACACUGCUGGUGGGACUGCAAAUUGGUGCAGCCAAUAUGGAAAGCAGUAUGAAGAUUUCUUGGAAAAUUGGGAAUGGAACCACCAUCUGACCCAGCUAUUCCUCUCCUCAGUCUAUGCCCAAAGGACUUAAAAACAGCAUACUACAGGGACACAGCCACAUCAAUGUUUAUAGCAGCACAAUUCACUAUAGCUAAACUGUGGAAGCAACCUAGAUGUCCUUCAGUAGAUGAAUGGAUUAAAAAAAAUGUGGCAUUUAUACACAAUGGAAUAUUAGUCAGUAAUAAAAGAGAAUAAAAUCAUGGCACUUGCAGGUAAAUGGAUGGAAUUAGAGAAGAUAAUGCUAAGUGAAGUUAGCCAAUACCAAAAAACUAAAUGCUAAAUGUUUUCUUUGAUAUAAGGAGGCUGAUUCAUAGUGGGAUAGGGAGCAGGAGCAUGGGAGGAAUAGACAACUCUAGAUAGGGCAGAGGGGUUGGGGGAAAGGGAGGGAGCAUGGGGUUAUUAAUGAUGGCAGAAUGUGAUGAUCAUUAUUAUCCAAAGUACAGGUAUGAAGACACAAAUUGGUGUGAAUAUACUGUGUAUACAAUCAGAAAUACGAAAAAAUGUGCUCUAUAUGUGUAAUAAGAAUGGUAAUGC
This 10462-nucleotide long non-coding RNA is filed under the name Marmota monax (woodchuck). The record is from RNAcentral. Lineage: Eukaryota; Metazoa; Chordata; Mammalia; Rodentia; Sciuridae.